CCUACGGGAGGCAGCAGUGGGGAAUAUUGCGCAAUGGGCGAAAGCCUGACGCAGCGACGCCGCGUGAGGGAUGAAGGUCUUCGGAUCGUAAACCUCUGUCAGCAGGGAAGCACGGUCACUGUGCUAAUCAGCAGUGAAUUGACGGUACCUGCAAAGGAAGCACCGGCUAACUCCGUGCCAGCAGCCGCGGUAAUACGGAGGGUGCGAGCGUUAAUCGGAAUUACUGGGCGUAAAGCGCUCGGGGGCGGUAUGUCAAGUCAAGGGGGAAAUCCCCGCGCUCAACGUGGGAACUGCCUUUGAAACUGGCAAACUGGAGUGUGUGAGAGGAUAGUGGAAUUCCAGGUGUAGGAGUGAAAUCCGUAGAUAUCAGGAGGAACAUCAGUGGUGAAGGCGACUAUCUGGCACAUAACUGACGCUGAGGAGCGAAAGCGUGGGUAGCAAACAGGAUUAGAUACCCUGGUAGUC
Molecule: ribosomal RNA, 465 nt
Filed under: uncultured bacterium
Lineage: Bacteria
Description: partial 16S ribosomal RNA
Rfam family: Bacterial small subunit ribosomal RNA
Source: RNAcentral